AUCACAAGAAAGGGGAGUACAGUACAAUAAGCUUGUAAAAAUAUGAUCACAAAGAAAUUAAAAACUGGUGAGAAAAAUAAUCAGCAACACUUCUCUAACGUCAUCAUGUAAGGAAACUUGUAUAGAUAAUCUUAGCUGACAGCCAGCAUCCACUGCCAGAUGUUACUAAAGACCUUCAGCCCCACUGGCCCUCCUCAGAAUUGUCCAGCUGCUGAAAUUCUCAGGAAACGGGUUUAGAAAGAGGAGAAGGUGGCUUCUGCCAUAGAGUGAAGACUCAAGGAUGGUUUGCAGAUUUUGAAGCUAUGUAAGAGAUUCAAAAAUAUUUACUGAUCUUGAAGAGAAGAUCAAAGGUUGAAG
Callorhinus ursinus (northern fur seal) is the source of this 357-nucleotide long non-coding RNA. RefSeq lists it as uncharacterized. The record is from RefSeq and is a predicted model, not a curated record. NCBI's taxonomy places the organism in Eukaryota, Metazoa, Chordata, Mammalia, Carnivora, Otariidae.